CGUGGAUCAGCAUGCCACGGUGAAUACGUUCCCGGGCCUUGUACACACCGCCCGUCACACCACGAGAGUUUGUAACACCCGAAGUCGGUAGGGUAACCUUUAUGGAGCCAGCCGCCGAAGGUGGGACAGAUAAUUGGGGUGAAGUCGUAACAAGGUAGCCGUAUCGGAAGGUGCGGCUGGAUCACCUCCUUUCUAAGGAA
RNAcentral lists this ribosomal RNA (200 nucleotides) under Listeria monocytogenes SHL016. RNAcentral describes it as "partial 16S ribosomal RNA". It matches the Rfam family "Bacterial small subunit ribosomal RNA", at positions 1343 to 1533 of the family's 1533-position model. The record is from RNAcentral. Lineage: Bacteria; Bacillati; Bacillota; Bacilli; Caryophanales; Listeriaceae.